UACAGAGGGUGCAAGCGUUAAUCGGAAUUACUGGGCGUAAAGCGUGCGUAGGUGGUUUUUUAAGUCAGGUGUGAAAUCCCUGGGCUCAACCUGGGAACUGCAUUUGAUACUGGAAAGCUAGAGUGUGGUAGAGGAUGGUGGAAUUCCCGGUGUAGCGGUGAAAUGCGUAGAUAUCGGGAGGAACAUCAGUGGCGAAGGCGGCAUCCUGGACCGACACUGACACUGAGGAGCGAAAGCCAGGGGAGCAAACGGG
This 253-nucleotide ribosomal RNA is filed under the name uncultured bacterium. RNAcentral's name for it is "partial 16S ribosomal RNA". It matches the Rfam family "Bacterial small subunit ribosomal RNA", at positions 524 to 776 of the family's 1533-position model. The record is from RNAcentral.